CAUUAUACUCCUUCACUGCCUGCUCUGUCUGGAGGACCCGCACAUCAAUGCCAUGUUUCUUGAGGUACUCCACAGUUGAUGAAGGCACCUGGGAAGGUGGAAAAGAGAUGAGUACAGGGUCUUGCUCUGUUGCCUAAGCUGGAGUGCAAUGGCACAAUCAGCUUACCACAGCCUCAAAAUCCUGGGCUCAAGUGAUUUUCCCACCUCAGGCUCCUGAGCAGCUAGGACUACAGGUGUGCAUCACCAUGUCUGGCUAUAAAAAAGAAUUUUGUAGAGAUGGGGUCUCACUAUGUUUCCCAGGAUGGUCUCAAAUUCCUGGCCUCAAGUGAUCCUCCGGCCUUGGUCUCCAAAAGUGCUGGGAUUACAAGCAUGAACAACUGUGCCCAGACUUGAUUUUCUUUCUUAAGCCCCACAUUUGAACUGAUGGUCUUGACUUUUUGAUACAUGUUUUUGUAAAGCACACAAGUUUUUAAUUUUGAUGAGGUCUAUUAAUUUAUUUUUCCUUUUGUUGCUUGUGGAUUUGGUGUUAUUUCUAAGAAUCCAUUGCCAUAUCCAAGGUCUUAAAGAUUUACCCUUGUUUUCUUC
Molecule: long non-coding RNA, 585 nt
Organism: Homo sapiens (human)
Lineage: Eukaryota; Metazoa; Chordata; Mammalia; Primates; Hominidae
Source: Ensembl